UAAGGGAUAUUGGGCAAUGGGCGAAAGCCUGACCCAGCAACGCCGCGUGGAGGAUGACGGCCUUCGGGUUGUAAACUCCUUUUGUCGGGGACGAGACAAGGACGGUACCCGGCGAAGAAGUCACGGCUAACUACGUGCCAGCAGCCGCGGUAAAACGUAGGUGGCGAGCGUUAUCCGGAUUUACUGGGCGUAAAGCGUGUGCAGGCGGAUGCGCAAGUGGUGUAUGAAAGCUCCGGGCUUAACCUGGAGAGGUUAUGCCAGACUGCGCGUCUUGAGGCAGAGAGAGGGACAUGGAAUUCCGGGUGUAGUGGUGAAAUGCGUAGAGAUCCGGAGGAACUCCAGAGACGAAGGCGGUGUCCUGGCUCUGACCUGACGCUCAGACACGAAAGCAUGGGGACCGAACG
This 404-nucleotide ribosomal RNA is filed under the name uncultured bacterium. RNAcentral describes it as "bacterial SSU rRNA". It matches the Rfam family "Bacterial small subunit ribosomal RNA", at positions 355 to 774 of the family's 1533-position model. The record is from RNAcentral.